UUUCCGUAGGUGAACCUGCGGAAGGAUCAUUAUCGUAAAACCGAGGUGCGAGGGCUGUCGCUGACCUUUUCGGUCGUGCACGCCCGAGCGCUCUCACACAAUCCACCUCACCCCUUGUGCACCACCGCGUGGGUCCCUUUCUGGCUCGUCCGGAGGGGGGCUCGCGUUUUCACACAAACUUGAAGUAGUGUAGAAUGUCCUUUUUUUGCGAUAACACGCAAUCAAUACAACUUUCAACAACGGAUCUCUUGGCUCUC
This 257-nucleotide unclassified non-coding RNA is filed under the name plant metagenome. RNAcentral's name for it is "partial contains small subunit ribosomal RNA, internal transcribed spacer 1, and 5.8S ribosomal RNA". The record is from RNAcentral.